AGUGAACGCUGGCGGUAGGCCUAACACAUGCAAGUCGAACGGCAGCACAGGAGAGCUUGCUCUCUGGGUGGCGAGUGGCGGACGGGUGAGGAAUACAUCGGAAUCUGCCCAGUCGUGGGGGAUAACGUAGGGAAACUUACGCUAAUACCGCAUACGACCUUCGGGUGAAAGAGGGGGAUCGCAAGACCUCUCGCGAUUGGAUGAGCCGAUGUCGGAUUAGCUGGUUGGCGGGGUAAUGGCCCACCAAGGCGACGAUCCGUAGCUGGUCUGAGAGGAUGAUCGGCCACACUGGAACUUAGACACGGUCCAGACUCCUACGGGAGGCAGCAGUGGGGAAUAUUGGACAAUGGGCGCAAGCCUGAUCCAGCCAUACCGCGUAGGUGAAGAAGGCCUUCGGGUUGUAAAGCCCUUUUGUUGGGAAAGAAAUCUUUCAGGCUAAUACCCUGGGAGGAUGACGGUACCCAAAGAAUAAGCACCGGCUAACUUCGUG
RNAcentral lists this ribosomal RNA (490 nucleotides) under uncultured bacterium. RNAcentral's name for it is "partial 16S ribosomal RNA". It matches the Rfam family "Bacterial small subunit ribosomal RNA", at positions 29 to 507 of the family's 1533-position model. The record is from RNAcentral.